CAUAACCUGUAAAGCGCUUUAUAAGUGUAAGCAAUUAUUAAUUAAUCAAGACCGGGAGCUUGUCCGGCUGAGCUAGGCUGUGCGCCACAACCCCACCACCGCUGGUGCGAAAUUUAAAAAAAUCCAUAAACUUGUAUUCCCGUUCCCGUCCGACCAGAACUUGUUCAGCUUAAUCCUGCUCUGCCCACUUGUGAACAGCCCACCCCCCGUUACUGUGGACCGAAGAGCAGGCGCGGGUUUUACCUGUCCCCUCCCUCCAUCUUCCUGUCGGACCCCUGCUGCGUUCAGCCACCCAGCGGUGACACCCCAGCAGCAGGGUCCCCAGGAAAGCUGUGCGCUUCAGCCGCAUCCAAACCGCCCUGCAGCAGGUUACUGAACUCUCGCCUUGAGCUGGAGCCGCCGAGAAGCGCAUCGCUGGCGAGUGACCGCGGAAGGCGGGUGCCCCCUGCCGACGGAACAAGGCAACAGCAGUCCCCGCCGAGCCACGACUGAGCCAUUCAACACGACUCCCGUGCAAGAGGAAAAGAGUAGGUCUCCAAAGUCAUGCCUAUCCUUGAGGCUGAAACAAUCACAGCACACUGUCCGGUUUAGCAGAUGAGCUCAGUGAAGCAGAACAGCCUGCGAAGUCCAUGAUGAAAAAGCGACCGAUUAUGGCAAACUGAAUGUGCUAAGUGCUGACUAAGUCACCUGUGCCAGCAAGCGGGUCGUUGCCAUUCUGACUGAGCUGGGUUUGCACUCUUGUACCGGUGAACUGCAGGGGCAAAGGCAGAUAUUGAGUCUGCAAAAUCAGGACCACGUCAGUGUGCACAAAACACAGCAAGAGAACCAGCCGCUGGA
Molecule: non-coding RNA, 837 nt
Organism: Lepisosteus oculatus (spotted gar)
Lineage: Eukaryota; Metazoa; Chordata; Actinopteri; Semionotiformes; Lepisosteidae
Source: RefSeq, a predicted model, not a curated record